GACCUGGUGGCAAAAUGGUUAAGUGCUCAGCUGCUAACUGAAAGGUUGGUGGUUCAAACCCACCCAGAGGCU
This 72-nucleotide transfer RNA is filed under the name Loxodonta africana (African savanna elephant). It matches the Rfam family "tRNA". Rfam says of the family: Transfer RNA (tRNA) molecules are approximately 80 nucleotides in length. Their secondary structure includes four short double-helical elements and three loops (D, anti-codon, and T loops). The record is from Rfam by way of RNAcentral. Lineage: Eukaryota; Metazoa; Chordata; Mammalia; Proboscidea; Elephantidae.